RNAcentral lists this long non-coding RNA (32064 nucleotides) under Ananas comosus (pineapple). RNAcentral's name for it is "long non-coding RNA (ACOM_LNC004842)". The record is from RNAcentral. Lineage: Eukaryota; Viridiplantae; Streptophyta; Magnoliopsida; Poales; Bromeliaceae.
UUAUUUAUUCCUAAUUAUUAUUUAAAAUUUUUAUAUUUAUCAUAAAAUUACCAAAAUAGGCUUCUCAACUCUAAUUCCUACUAUCCCCCACCAACACCUCCCAAAAAAAAGAAACUUUAUGUGGACAACCACGCAUCUACAUCACUAAUUAUCUACGAGAUUAGCAAGCAUAUUGGAUUCAACUUAAUCUCUAUACCGCACAAAAUGUUUCUGAGCGCCGCUCAUUUGUAAUAAUAUUCUGCAAUAAUUAGAUCCCACCUUAUUAGCCAAUUACUAGUUAUUUACUAAAUUAGCAAGCAUAUUAAAAUUCAACAAAAUCCCUAUACACACAGGAGUGCGUCUGGUAUGCUUAUGGAAGUACGGAGCGCUCCGUACUUCCACUUUGUUUUCGAUGUUCGGACUUUCAAAUCGACGACCGGCUCCGUUAGACUUGAUCUAGAGUAUUUGAAGUAUCUAGAAAAUAAAUUUUGCGAUUUUUCGAUAUCAUUUGCCUAGUGAUCGAAGUGGCUCAAAAUCAACGGCUGAAAAUAAAAAUCUUACAAAAUAUGAUGAUAUGACAUUAAAAUUUUAGAUCAAAGUUAUUGAUCUUGUUUUAUAUGAUAUAAAAAAUUUUCUAUCAAAAUUUCAUGUGAUUUGAAUAUUUCUACACCAUUAAACUUGCAACCGGCUUACCACGGCCUUUAAAAUUAUUGAUUUUGAGCCCCUUCGAUCACUAGACAAAUGAUAUCGAAAAAUCACAAAAUUUAUUUUCUAGGUACUUCAAAUACUCUAGAUCAACUCUAACGGAGCCGAUCGUCAAUUCGAAAGUCCGAACAUCAAAAAUAACUUGGAAGCACGGAGGGCUCCGUGCUUCCAUAAGCAUACGAGCCCACUCAUACACACAGAAUGAUUACGCUGCUCAUUCAUAUCAGAAUACAUAUGAGUGACAUAUGAGUAAUACAAUCACACCUUAUUGGCCAAUCUAAUAGACCAGGUUCACUGAAUCCUCUUCGCCACUGUACAUGGGAACCUGCUUCAAUUGUCCUCUACCUGAUAAUAUUGUGCAAUAAUUAGAGAAUUUUUUUUUUCUUUUCCUUUUUAAGUGAAUUAAAGGACCUCGAGAUAAGCUUUCCACAUGUAUUUCAUUUUAGAAGCAAUAAAAUAUUCCUUGCACCAAUCAUUCCUCAGAAUAAGCUAUUUUAUAUGAGAAAUAUAAAGUGUGCAUUACAAAAUAAAUUUCACAUGAAAAAAUUACUAAGGAAUCAUGAUACACACUUAAGAAAAUGAGACAAUGAGCAAUUUAAAGUUAAAUAAUAUUGAGUACUAAUCAGAAAAGAAUAUUGGUUAUAGUUUUCUCAAGUUUUUGAAACCAAAAAAAAGAUUGUUUCACAUUAUAUUAACCUGCUAUUAAAGCAAGGGAUUUUUAAUUCAAAUUCUGUCAAGCUCUUAGUCUCAUUUAAUAUCCUCCCAUUUAACUUAGGCCUACAUCUUUAGCUUACAAAAUGUGCUUAAUCCAAAUACAAGUUCUAAGCUUUUGUAAAUACAUGACUGUUUCUAUGUUACUUUGUUUUUAUAAAUCAAUCAAAUAAGAGGAGUUAGUUAUCACUAUCAUUCAAAAAGGUUAAUCAUGUGAAACAUUUGACAUAUGGUAUGUUAGCAUAGUGAGUGAAUAUCAAAGCAAAAAAAAUACAGAAUAAGUGACUAGUUGCAGUAAAGACCAUGAAGCAGAGUUUUUUUUAUUGUUAAGUCCAUUAAGAUUAUCAAGUGGUUUUUAGUUAUAGCUUAGUGUUUUUAUUUCUUAAAUCAUGACAGAGUAUGAAAGAGAGUCCUAUGUCAAAAUUAAACAUCCAAAGGUUUUUUUAUCUUACAUGACUUCAAUAUAGUAAAUGUCAAUGUAAUAUACUGCAUGUAAGCAAUGGCUAGUCAAAUGCAAAUUGGUAGAAUCUGAUUACUAUGUUUAACAAUCUGAUUAUUAUGCACACUCCAAAAGAUAACAUACCCUAUAUCAGAAUACAACAGUACAGAAAAAGUCUAUAAAUGCAUUAGUUGAUGAAGCUCCUUGAGGACCCAGGUUUGUUACUGAAACCAUCUUUUACAGAGCACUAAAUAAUUUAAUGUAGUUGGAUAUUUUUGAACACUACUGAAUCAAUAGCCAGAGGGCUCAAUUCUCGUACAAAAAAUAUAUAUAAUUGAAUAUAUCUGGAACAUAAUUUCUAUAAAGAAACUGAGAAAAUCUUUCUCGAUAUCUCAAAUUGGGACUCAGUUAUGGAGGACAGGGCUCAAUGAUGAAGACAUUUAAAAUGGUGCGAAAAGAAAAUGAUUGUUAUCGAAUCCGAGGCGAAUGAGCUUGUCCUCUGUAUUAAACUAUGGAGAGAAUUUGAAAACAAGGGGAAACAAUACACAGACAUCAUGACAGAGUGGAACACAUUCUCUGUGGUGGGAGUUUCAGUUCAUAUCAGGACCUAAAUCACUUAUUAUGCCAAUCUAAUAUGUUUGGCCACAACACAUAGGAUGCCAAGGCAUUUGAAAGGUACAUUACUGAUUAAAUAGAAAAUGAAAACUAUUGUGAGAAAAAUGUGAUGUAAGAGAUGCCACUCUGUUUACCACCUGGGACUAAUGACAACCUCCUUUUGUCCCUAGAAAGAUAAAUAAAGAAAUAAUUGUAUCGAAGCGUUGCAACUUUGGUGUAAAUAAGACUAGAAAAGCAAAUUUUCACAUAUUGCUUCCUAUGGAAAUGAAAUCGGCUUAUAUGAGAGAAGGAUAAUGCCAAAAAUCACACCCACAAAUGCUCUUAUCCCUAAUCCUCAUUAUUUGAUGAAUUGCUGGUAUUCUAGUGUAAGAUAAUCGCUUGCGCUAAAUAGAGAAUUUCUCUAUCACAAUCAAAGCUGUCCCGACCCUACUAACAUGGUCUGAAAAGAAUGUAUUAGCUAACAUGCAGUCGGCAUAGCACGUCGAUAGUCAAGCCGCAUACAGAUGUGUCGUAAACAACCUUGGAUUCCCUAUGUAGAUUGCUCAAAUAUGUAUAGACCUGUCUAGAUGAUAGAAGCAUGUGUAUAGUUAUUGGUGCAUUAUAUUUUCACCUUAAAUUACUUUUUAAGUAACUAAACUGGUGCAUUGAGAGGCUGGAAACAUCAUUUGAGUGAUCAGAAUACGGACACAAUUUGAAGUGAGAUGUAAAAUACAGUCAUUCAGAACAAACUCAUUGAGGGUAAUGCUCAUCUUUUAAUCAUGCUUACUCAAUCAUACAUAGCAGAACCACUUAAAUGAUGUUGAUGAACAGCAUUCGUGCAACGAAUUCAUUAGCAAAAGGCUGAUGAUACACCAUGCAUCAAGUUCGUUUGGAAGAGUACUAAAUAAGAGAAACAUGCUCCCUAUUAAGAAGCUUAAAACUGACAGAUUCAUUCUAUGCACAGCUUAAAACUGAGUCAGUGCCAUUCCAAACCUCCCACGGUGGUGGAGCCCACUCCUUCCCAUACUUCCUUGUGACCAACUUCUUCACUAUCAACGCCUUCCCGGUCACAGUCCCACCAUCCAUGUCCAUUUGCAUCUGCAAGCAAGUUUUCCACAUUGUAAUCAAAGAUCAUAACUUUUUUGGAAUUGCAGUGCUAAGAGAUCAAUCACACUUCCAAUAGAUCUGAGAAGCAUAAUUGCGACAGCUUACAGUGGUUGUAAAGGGGUUUGUAUCUUUCAGUGUUGGAUUUGAAGCCUCUUCUCUUUGGGCGAGGCUUUGGGUCAUCACCUAGAACAACCAAGGAAUUCGGAGCAGCAUCUUUCUCACCAUAUCCUAAGAAUUACAGAACAAACUAAUGUAAUUUCAUGUCCUCACUACUAAUUGUUUGGCCUUCUUUCUACUUCUACUUUCAGCUACAAUCACCUCUAACAAAUUUUACUAGACAAAAAAAAAAGUAUUAAGGAAAUAUUAAUACAAUGCUUCUUCUAAUAACACUACUCAACAUUAAAGCAUUUGGACAAACAGAAAAGCCCAAAUCCUAAUAUGAUUCAAAGACCCCUAUUUGGAGCUUACGAUUUUAUUGGAGAAAGAAAAAGUAUGAAGUUUUGAUGUUAAUACAGUGCUUCUUCUAAUAACACUACUCAACGUUAAACGGCACUACUUCUAAUAACACUACUCAACGUUAAACGGCACUACAUCAUACAACAAGAUAAGCAGAAAGUGAAAGUAAUGAGCAAUAGUAAUGCAGGAAAAAAUAAAAUCAGAUCAAAACAACUUUCCCCUAAUAGAGAUGCUUAGGUUCAAUUAGUGAUAAUGUACGGCGACUAAUAAGGAAAUCAAAUAGUUUAUUUUCAUCCCUAGCACAUACCUAAAGAAUGACCAAAAGGGUUUUUCCUUUUCCGCAAAACCCUGCCGGUUCCACCAAAUUUUGAUAGAAACUCAUCACAAUCUCCAUCUUUUUCCAUCCUAACAUCGGCCUCUUCUUUCACCGGGCAAUUGAAUCGCUUAAAAGCAGCUUCAUUGAGGAUCAAACCAACACCCGCGUCAUCCGUUUUACCUUCCGAGCCCUUGCCCCCGAAUCCAAUCGACGAAAACGAACUCUGCUUCUCCUACAAAGGAAGCAACCAAUUCAUCAACCAAAAAGAACAAAUCUUCGCCUCAUUGCAAGAAUUAUGAUUCCGCACAAAGCAGAAGCAAGCUGCUACCUUAAUCGUUUUCGCGGCCGUUUUGACCAACUUCCGAUCCAAAAACUCGGCGAGCGAGACUGGUUGCUUCGGAGGCUUCGGCACUCCACCCACAUCGUCACCGCUUAAAAUACGAACACAAACACACACAUACAAAUACAUACAUGUUCUCUUCUUUUAGGCAUUUUAACAAACAGGUGAUGGGCGUGAAAACGGAAUUAGAACGAGACAGGGAUUGAUUAGAGGAGAUUUUGAGCACCUGGGUUUGGAGAGGAAGCGAGAUCGGAGAGAGGAUUGGCCAAAUGGCCUAAUGCUUGUGGGAAUUUUGAGCUUCAUUUUGGGGAGGAGAUCUCCGUUUGGGCUACGAAAAUGCGUUUACCGUGGGGUUUCAAUCCUUUUUGGCGCGGGAUUUUUAAAUUUGUGUCGAGUUCCCGAUACGUUUGGCGCCAAAUUUUCACACCAGGGUGGACGGGUUGAACCGAACCGGACCGGACCGAAAUGGACCGGAAGGAAACACUCCGGUUGGCUCGUUUUGCUAUGUCAUUUGAAAACGAGGGUGUAAGUGGGAAAGUUAUUUGGGCCCUAAAUAUUUAUCUUUAUUAUUUAAUUUAUUAUAAAUUAAAUUUAACUAUAAUUUUAUUUUCUAAAAAUAUGGUAAUUGACUUUGUCCUAAAUGUUGCUAAAGUCAAUUACGAGAGAGAUAGAGAGAAAAAAAGUUUCUGUUAUAACUGGAUUUCUUAGCCCUCCAAAAAAUGGGUGGGGUUAGCUAACCCCACCUCAAAUAAAUUAUUCCGGAUUAACUAACACCACCUAACCCCACCAAACUCCAACCAAACAUUAUUUUCUAUUCAUAAUAACUCACUAUCUUUCUUAUCACACCUACUCGAACUAAUCAUUAUCCUUCUUUAUCAAUCAUUAUCUUCUUAUCCCACCUACUCCAACCAAACAUUAUUUUUCAUUAUUCUAGACUAACUCCAACCCCCAACCAAACACAAAAAAACUUUAACCCCACUUUAACCCUGAACUUAACUCUAUCUUUGGAAUAGCUACUUUUUCCUUAACCCCGAACCAAACGGAGGCUUACGUGUUAGUACAAAAUUCUUCUACCGAAAUAAAUAAAAAAGUGGCAAAAUUACGCUAAAAUUUGUAUUUAUCUGAAAGUUAUUUUCAACCUGUAAAUCACUUACAGCUCAAUAACACAGGCCUUGAUAUAAUUAAAUAGUACCAACACCAAACCCUUCCAUAGCCACAUAAUAUAGAAGACAUAGCAUCAGAUAAACAUUCGGUAAGAGUGCCAACAAUUCCCUUCGUUUUACAUAAAACUUGCUAAUGGGAGAAAGCAUUCGAGAUGCCGAGAUUACGCUCUUUUCUCGAGAAAAUAUAAUAAGUUUAUUCGGUACAAUACAAUGCUGUUAAUAAUAAAUAAAUAACCUAGCUGAUGCUUGACGGCUCAGCGAAACACUAGUUCUAAGUACAACACUACAACAUCAGAAUAAAAUUGUGUGUCGAAUUUAGGGCCAACUGCACCACCAGUUCCUAGACUUCCACUCAAGUUUCACUUUGGUCCUGCCACUUCUGAAUUACACAUUCGACACCUAGAACUUCAUUCAUUCAUAGAUGCAUCUGUACAUUUGUGCACUGCGAAUCAAUCAGCCCUCAGUACAACUCGUACUUUAUAUCACAGCCAUCCGACAACUUACUGGUGAAAAUGGUCGAAUGAGAUCGAGGGCUCAUUGAUGGGCGGCGCAAAGAUGUACAGAUCUGCCUGGUGCAGGGCCUGCAGGCAAUAGUUUUUCUAUCGAAUAAAAGAUAGGAAUCAGGAAUAGAGUGAAACAAUUUCGGAAGUUCAGGAUAUCAAAUGUUGAACUCAAUAGUUUCAGGACCAAAGUGAAGCUUGAGUAGUAGGUAUGGGGACCGAUAGUGCAAUUUACCCUCGAAUUUAUCAUACUGCAAUGUGUUUAAUUGAGUGGAAAAGGAUGCUAGUCUUUAAGUGCCUGCUGGAGAGGCUCCUCUGCAGUAGGACCGGAAGACGGGGGUGAAACAGUUCUUGUAGCACUCUUGGAAGAGUCGCCUAACGACUUUGAGAUGGCACCUUUUUCGUCCACGACCUCCAGGGCAGCUCUCUCCUUGGCUUUUUGGGCCCUCUUUAUUACUUCUUCCUGCAUUUGUCAAACUUGUUACACUAGAAAGAGAAUGAUAAACAAAAUCAGGAUAUAACAUUUACUAAGUUAAAGCUAGUAGCUAGCGGGAUUGUGUUCUAAUUGGCACUUCAGCUCAAACAUAGUUUCAGAAGUUGAUACAAAUUUCUUAACUCUUUGGUGAUGCCCAACUUAAUUGUAAUAUGCAGGUCAAAAUCUGCCAAACUCCCCAUCCAUUCUGGAUGGUGUUCUCACAAAAAAUAAAUAAAUAAAUAAAUAAAAAUAGAACUCCAGGACAAAGAAAUAUCAUCUUUGAGUAAAUUGCAGGCUCCCUCGAGAUUUCAUGACCACAAAGCAUAUAAAGUAGGUGAGUUACCCCAUGAAGUGCUCUUACUGCAUUUUCAUGUAACUACUAUGUAAGGCCCACACUAAUUUGAAGUUGCUCUGGUAAGUAUUUUGGCACGAUUUCUCGAGAAUUUAUCUCAAAAUAGAGAUUUUCCUGACAGCUUACGAGCAAGUUAAGUGGAAAUAAUGUCUUAGUAUGGAAUGUCAUUGAAGUUCUAUUACAGCUAUGAUACUAUGUCUGAAUUAGCAUAAGGACACAUCUUUUGUUCAGAUCUCAUUUAAUUCUGCUGAAGUUUUUGUUUUUUUUUUUUUUUUAGUUUUUGCAAAUUUUAUGUGACUGAAUGUGCUGGCGGAUAGCAGAUUCUUGCGAAUUGCGUUCUACGCAAAACAAAAAUUUUGUAGCGCUCAUGGUAUUGAUGACCAAAAAUGACAUGCUACAGGUAAAACUGAAAGUGUAAUUCCUUCCUAGCUAUCUGGCAAUUAUUCCCUUUUGUAAAUCAAAAGGUCCAAUAUAUCCCUUUCCAUAUAAUGACUCUCGAAGAACCAUGAACCAUGAACCAUGAACCAUGGAAAGUGUAAUUCCUUCAUAUAUAUAUAUAUAUAUAUAUAUAUAGGGUCCGGCUACUAUACUAUUAUGAGUACGAUCGCCCUCGUACUCAUAAGUUGUUUUCAAUGAUAGAGCUUCCGAAUCGACGAUCCACAUCGUUAAACGUUAUUUACAGCAUUUAAAACUUCUAGAAAUCAAAUUUUAUAAAUUUUCGACAUCAUUUACCGUACGAUCAAGAGGUCACAAAUUUGACAAUUUUUAACGGCCGGUAUGGGAUACUUGCUAGUUUAACGGUGUAAAAGAAUCGGAAUUUGUUGAAUUUUUGAUAGAAAAUUCUAUUCACUACAUAGAUAAAGAUCAAUAACUCCGAUCUUGAAUUGAAGGAUCUGAUCAUCCUUUUUUAGGACGUCGUUCGAUUUUGACCGUUCAUUUUAUGCCCACUUGAUGGACUUUAUUAUGAUUUCGAAAAUUUACGAAAUUUAUUUUUUAAAAGUUUCAAAUACUCUAGAUCAUAUUUAACGGAGUGGAUCGUCGAUUCGGAAGCUCCAUCAUUGAAAACAACUUAUGAGUAUGAGUACGGGGCUCCAAUACUCAUAAUAGUAUAGUAGCCAUGGCCUAUAUAUAUAUAUGUGUGUGUGUGUGUGUGUGUGUGUGUGUGUGUGUGUGUAUAUAUAUAUACAUGUAUGUAUGUAUGUGUGUGUAUAUACAUACAUGUAUGUAUGUAUGUAUAUAUAUUUAUAUACACACGAAUUCAAGCGGAAUAACAGCGCUAGUUGUGUAGAGACAAUGUAUCUAACAGAUCAUUAAUUUGACUAUGAUAUAUCUCUCCUCCAGGAUGAGUUCUAAAUAAGAAGAAAAUACUACACUACGACCACAUAAAAAAAGUGAUUCUUCUGUCGAUUCUAUUGUAAUGCAUAACAGCCACUUUAUCUAUUUCCUACUUGAUUUGGAUAACUGAAAAGUUUUACAUAAGUUUUAUACAAGAUGAAAGUAGAAUUUAUCAUCAAAACCAUAGCGUAAGAAUAGAAGAAGGAAAAGACAAUUAGCGGACAUGUUUCAUUUUCUAACCUGGAAAUCUUGAACUUGUUUCUGUUGCUCAGCUUGCCACCGACCGACCACACUAAGAAGUUCUCCAACAGUAGAUUCUAUCCGCUCGUUCAGUGCUUCUGCAAAAGCUUUUCCCAAAAAGAAUGCAUCCAGAACAGCUUUGCUCUCAUUUUCACCUAAGGAACAGCCACAACUGAGUGACUAGAGGAAACUAUUACACGUAAACUUAGAAUAGCAUAAAGAACUAUUUAAAAUAAUAAAUAGUUUGCGAAAUCAGAAAUCACUAGCUGAAUUUCGAGGUGUCGUUCGCAGGAAAUUUAGCAGAAAAUUGAAUGCACACCCUCGACAGCUUAACUCAGUAUCUGUCCAAACUAGUUCUUACUGCUACUAAGUUAGCGAGAGCAAACUAAUUCUUUCACACGACAUCCCUUAUCUUGUGUCAGCAGCAGCUUAAGAAAUGAGUUAGAUGUGUAUAUCCAGAAUAACGCUGUUUCAAUAUAUAACUUAAAAACCAUAAGUUCAUCCUCCGCAACCGCUAAUAUGCGACUGGUGAACCCUAACAAGAACUACUGUGGUUUCAGGGCGGUAAGAAAGCCUCGUUUAAACCUUACUAACAAGUAUUUAUGCGCCCAUUAGCAAAAAUUGAGCCCACCGUACCUUACUAUGCUGACAAGAUAUCGACAUAAUACAGACCCCAUACAGAUGGCACAACUCAAAAUCCUCUUUUUUUCCAAACUUAGCAAGCAAUUAGAAUACAUUGAUGCUAGACAAAAUAAAUAUUUCAUACGGAAGUGUGUGACGCCGCAACAGUCCCAUGUCCCACAUCAGAAGAGAAAGAAAUUAUGAUUGAAAAUAUAAGGAUCAAAAACUUUGAUAUUAAUAUCUGGACUUAAUAUUUUGGACAGGUGGUUUAGACCUAACGAGUUAUUAGUGCGCUAGACCCAUGAACCAUAAGUGCUAACCAACUAUCUCAAAAGCGUGCUAUUAGAAAUACGCAAUCAAUUCACUUAAAGCGUACAGAUACAGCACCCACGGAUCUCGAUCGUGACUCGGCCCAGUCAGCCUUAUGCCACUUCGAACAUGGCUCACCAUAAUCCCGCCUCACGCCAUUUCGAAUAUGACUCAGACCUACUUAGCCUCCCGUCACAUGCCAAGAUGCUUGCCCAUUUAAGCCAACAAGAGCGGCACGCGCAAAUAAAUUUGCCAACAGUACACAUCGGCACAGCACGCCACGUACGGCCGAGUACCGUGCUAACAACUUCUCGGCACGAUCCCGCGCCGCGACACUUAAAAUCCACAGCACAAAAGGUCCGAGUACUCCUUAAUACACUAUCACCAAUGAUUAGAAAAAGGAUAAUUCUCCUAAAGAUUCUCCGUUUCGAUGAUUUAGAGUGCCCUAAAAAAAGCCAAAAUCGCGAUUAAAAAACAUUAUCAGUUAAAAUUUCCACCAUCGCACCUUAAAUUCGCGAAGAAGAAACGCAUUAAGGGACUAAAAAAGAUUGAAAAAAAAAAAAGUGGGAAAUGGAAAGAGCGAGUCUCUUUACUUGAACCGGGUCCAGGAGCUGCGCCGCCGCCGCCGCCGCUGCUGCGGCAUCGGACGCGAUUCCAUGGAUGGAAUCUCGCGAGGGUUCCGGGGACGAGGACGAGGGCCGGAGAAGCGCGGCGGAGGAGAGCUGCGGUGGGAGGAGCGCUUCUGGAGAAAGCGGGAGGAGGAGGAGGAGGAGGGGCGGAGAGACCUAUCAUUCUCGCGCACUACUCUCGUGUUUGGCCUUUUACAUUUUUGUGCUUAAUAUUUAUAUUAAAUAUAUAUUUUUUGGGUUAAUUUCAAAGAGUUCUCUACAAAUAUAAUAAAUUAUAAAUAUAUUUCUAUAAAGUUCAAUACAAUCGUUAGUAAAAAAAUAAUAGUUAACUAUAGAUAUUAUACUUAAUCCUAAUUAAUUUAUGAGGUGAAUUGAUAUUUUUACUUAUUUUAAUUAAUAAUUUGGACUUUUGGAGGAAUAUAUUUGAUAUAUUUGAAAGGAUUAAUUGCAUGCAGGUCCCCGCAAGUAUAGCGAAUUAUAAAUAUAUUCUUAUAAAGUUUAAUUUUUAUAAUUUAUUUUUGCAAAAGUUUUAAUAUUUUCAGAUAUGUCCCUCUAGUUUGUUACCGUUAAAAAACUGUUUAUAUUUCUAAUUUUGUCAUCAUAAAUAUAUCCCUUCAAAAUUUAUAAUAUAAUAAUAUAAAAGGGGUAAAAAUAUCAAAUAUUAACCAAAAUGAAGUAUUUAACCUAUGUUUAACUAAACUUUUCUAACGGCGGGGACAUAUCUGAAAAUAUUAGGAAGUUUGCAGAAAUAACUUAUGAAAAUUAAACUUUAUAAGAACAAAUUUGUAAUUUAUUAUGUUUGUGGGGACCUGUAUGCAAUUAACCCUAUUUGAAAAUAUUAGAAUUUUUGAAUGAAUAAUAUAUGAAAGUUGAAUUUUCUAGAAAUAUAUUUGUAAUUUACUAUAUUUAAAGACACCGGUAUAAAAUUAACUUUUUUUUUAUUCUCUGUUUUUUCAUUUAAAUCUAGAAGAAACUUCAGAUAUCUUGUGAUUUUUCUCUUUGCAAUAUAAUUUAGUUUUUAUUUUUAUGUUUUAUUAAAAACUUAUUGUUAUUUUUUUUAUUAAAGUAUCAUACAUCGCUCACGACAGUCAAAAAUAUUUUACAAAUAUCAAUAAAAAUAAUAUAGAGUCCUUCAAAAAUAAUCAGUAUUAAGUUCUAAGAGGUUUCAUGUUAUUUUUAUUGGUCUUUCAAUCACCUAUGCACUACAUAACAUUUUAAUAAAAAUGAUAAUUGAAUGUAGAAAAAAAUAAAAAAUAAUAAUUAUAAAUAUAUUUAAGUAAUACAAUUAAAAUUACAUAAUACUAAAGUAAAAAAAAAAAAAUUAUUGGAGGUAUAUGAAGUUUUUCCUUAAAUUUAUUAUAUUGUAUGCCAUUUUAAAUUAGUUUUUGGCCAAUUUGCAUAAAAAAUUCACUAGCUUUGCGCUUUUGCAAAACUAAACCACAUUUUUCGAUUUUGUAGAUUCGGACCGAAUUUUAAAAAAACAAACCAAAAUACCCUGAUACCUUUUUCGCUCUCUUCUUUUUUUUCUCGCGUUCUCUUUUGUUUUCUUGCCAAAGAAGUCGGCGAAGGCGGAGGCGGAAACGGCCCCUUCGCCUCUGCCCCUCAUGCACUCGCCCUCGCCCCCGUACGCCCCGUCCUCCUCGCCUCCAACCCCGCUGAUGUAACACCACGACUUUUUUUUUUUUUCCCUCUCCGUUGUCAAGCGCCCCUCGCGUCGCUGCCCCCCUUCUCAAAAGAUUUUUUUUUUAAGAUUUUUUUACCUCAUACUGAGAGAAAAAGAAGCCCCUCCUCAAAUUCACCCGCAGCACCUCGUUGAAGGUGCUGGGGCUGCUCAAGCUCCGCUCCAACCUCUCGAACACAACCUUCCCCGACAUGUUUGGCCUUGGGCUGUCUACCGACGGGCCCCUCGACGGCGGCGGAGGCACAGCGUUCCCAACCGCCACUGUGUCCCGCCACAUCGGGCUCUGCCCGACCCUCUGUGCCGUCGCGGACCGCGGCCACGAGAGGCAAAAAAUCAAAAAAAAAGAAAGAACAAGACGAAUGUUGCACUAUUAAAAUUAAGUUGCACUGUUUCACAAAAAAAUUGCAUUGUUUAAGAUGAACGUUGCACUCUUGAAAUAAAAAUUAUAUUUUUUGAAGCAAAUGUUGCACUCUUUUGACAAAUAUUACACUAUUUUUUCAAAAAAAUACACCGUUUCUUUUUUUCUUCCUCCCCUUCCUCCUUCAUGGCAUCCAUAGCCUACAUGGCGUCGGUGUCCAUGGCAUGCAUGGCGUCGGCGUCGAGCGGGAUCGGCGCCGCCUGCACGUCGUAUUGCAGUGGCCAUGUGCCGUUGCGCGGGACCGCGAAUGGGGCGGCGCGCAGCAGUGUGACGUUAAUCCGGUGGAAGCUGAGCGUGAAGCCGACGUCCGAAAAGCCCGCGGCGGCCACGCGGUUGUCGUUCUUGGUGACCACCGUGAUUGGUCGUAGUUGAGCCGGCUCAGGUGCGCCGCGGGCAUGCAAAGUGGAGGGGAAGAAGGAAGAGGAGGAGGAGAAAUGAUACAAAUUUCGCCCAAAAUUGCACAAUUUCAUCCAAAAUUGCACAAAAAAUAGUGCAAAUUUGAGGAGGAAAUCCCUAACAAACCCUCAAACCAGCACUGCACCUAGAAAAAAAAAGGAAAAAAAAGAAAAAGUAAAAAAAAAAAAACCCAAUCAAUCGCUCCACCCCUACUUCCUCCACUACAUCCCCUCUGGCUCCUCCGGCGGGGGCGUCGGUCUGGUCUCUUCUACCCUCUCUGUUGACAUCGUUGUUGGUGCCGACGGGGCCAACAACACCUCCUCUCGGGGAUGGUGUGGGCCUCGACGCAGACGACAAUGCCGCCGGCGAGCUUGGGCGUGACCCGGGCUUGGCGGCGGCGAUGCAGGUGCCAACGGCGACGUGGUCGCAGUUGGGGAAGACCCAGGCAUAGGACACGUCGUCGCCAACGUACAUCUCAGCGAGGUUGGUGUAGGCGGCCAUGCCCGCGGGGGGGAGGCGGACGCGCUCCUUGGGAGAGAGGAAAAAAAAAAGGACGUGAGAAAAAAAAAAGGAGAGAGAGAAAAAUACAAAAUAUUUUGGUCAGUUUUUUAAAAUUCAGGUCGAAUCUAUAAAAUCAAAAAAUGUGGUCCAAUUUUACAAAAACGCAAAACUAGGGACACUUUUUUAUGCAAAUUGGCCUAGUUUUUUUUUGGCAUGAUAACGUGUUGGAUGCAAGCAGAGUUAGGAUCCAAAACUAAGAAACUAUGUGCUACUGCCUACUGUGCUAUUGUAUUGCUUUUUUCUUUUUUUGUUCCCCAAACCUUUUUGCAUUUGCAUUUUGGUUCUUUUUUUUUGGAAAAAAAGAACGGGAAAAAGUUUAAUUUUCACUAAACUAGUACUAAAAGAGCAUAUUUUAAUCAAUAGCAUGAUAUGUAAAUUUUUUAUAUUUCAUAUAUAUAAAAUUUUUGCACAAGCAGUGUCGAUGAUUGACAUUUUUUAAACCACAAUAAAUAUUUUUGUAAGUAAAAAUUGUUUUGAGCAACUACAGGUACAUCCCCACCUUUAACAUCAAAACUCUUUUUUUCUUUUUUUUUUUUGAGAAUAGGUAGUACGCUACCAGUUUUAUUUAUAGAAAUGAUGAAUUAGGCUACAGGAGUGAGGCAGCCUGGACCUCUGGAAAAGAAACACUACAUCCAACCGAAAAAAAAAAAGAAAGAAAGAGGGAUUUUGCUAUUUAGUUUUGGCUAUUUAGUUUUAACAUCAAAACUUGUUAAGGGUUUUUGCUAUUUAGUUUUGCAUUUAUAACGAACCAAAAUAUCAAUAUUAUUAUUAUUAUUAUUAUUAUUGUUAUUAUUAUUAUUAUUUUGUAAUUUUCGACCGUUGAAGGGUCGGGUCGGGUCGGGUCGGAUCCGAUCCUCAUUUUCGAUGCCAACCCGGAUCCGAAUAUAUUAACGUAAAUACCCCUCAAAUAUAAACUAAAUAAAAUUCUCGACGCGAGGGUAUUCGCGUAAUUUCGGACGAAACCCAUCCCCUUCUCAACCCCUUUUCCCCUUUCUCUCUUUCUCUCUCUACGCUGCCCCUCUUUUUCGCUCCUCUCUCUCUCUCUCUCUCUCUCUCUCCGCGAUCGCGCGCGAGCGCGAACAAAACCCUCGUCUCAACGCGCCCAAAUCGAACGAUCCCGCGUCGAAUUAACCCUAGAACCCGAUUUCGCCGUCGACUUCGCCGUAUUCGAUUGCUCUCCCCUUCGAUCGGCGCGUAUCCCUUCUAGGUUUUCUCAUUAUUUUUUCCUUUUACUAAGAAACUAUAAUCUUUAUAUUCUUUUUUUAACUUAAGUUUUAUGGUUGUAAUUUAGGGCUCAUUCUCAUAUUUUUCUACUUCAGUUUAAAAUUGUCUUUUUAUGGCGAUUUUAGCUGAUUUUUAAGCCAAAAUUUGAAUCUUUUAGUCAGAUUUUUAUGUUCUCAUAUUUUUAAUAUUUUUCUGAUUAAAUUUCUGGUGCAAACUCAAACAUAUUGAAAUCUUAGGGUUUAAGCAGUAGUAGAUUAUCCAAGUGUUCUUCGUUUUAGCUAACUUUUUAUGUUUUGGAUGUGAUUUACGCGCAGAUAAUAUACUUGGAGGUGAAAAGUAGCUUCUAUUGUUGCAAAUUAGUACUCAAAUUUGUUGUUCAGGAGCAGUGGGUGUAUGAAUAUUUUAAUUCGCCUUAUGAGAGAGAUUUCGACAUGGCUACCCACGCAUUAGUCCCGCAAGAACAGGGCCUUGCUAUCUCGGACCACUCCCUAGUUAUCGGCCAAGAGUUCCCUGAUGUGGAGACGUGCCGGCGGGCCCUUAAGGACAUGGCGAUUGCCUUACAUUUUGAACUUCGAAUUGUGAAGUCCGACCGCAGCCGGUUCAUUGCCAGGUGCUCCAAGGAAGGCUGCCCAUGGCGGAUCCACGUGGCGAAGUGCCCCGGCGUCCCCACCUUCUCUAUCCGGACGUUGCACGGCGAGCACACCUGCGAGGGGGUCCACAAUCUCCAUCACCAGCAGGCCACCGUGGGAUGGGUCGCCCGGUCCGUGGAGGCGCGGCUACGAGACAAUCCCCAGUACAAGCCGAAGGAGAUACUGCAAGAUAUCCGUGAGGAGCACGGGGUCGCCGUUUCGUAUAUGCAAGCGUGGCGCGGGAAGGAGCGGAGUAUGGCGGUGGUACACGGCACUCUUGAAGAUGGGUACCGCCUACUUCCUGCUUAUUGCGAGCAAAUCAGGAAAACAAAUAUCGGAAGUAUUGCUUUAGUUUACCCCACGGGUCCUGAGAACUGCUUCCACCGCCUGUUUAUUUCCUAUUAUGCGUCGAUCUAUGGUUUUUUGCAUGCUUGUAGGCCGCUGCUGGAACUUGAUAGGGCACAGCUUAAGGGGAAGUAUCUUGGCACUUUGCUUUGUGCCUCGGCUGUCGAUGCCGAUCACACCCUGUUCCCACUAGCAUUUGCCAUCGUUGAUGUGGAGAGUGACGAGAAUUGGAUGUGGUUUCUGUCGGAAUUGCGGAAGCUUCUUGGAGUUAAUACGGACAAGAUGCCCAUAUUGACAAUCUUGUCGGAGAGGCAUAAAGGGGUUGUCGAAGCAGUUGAGACGCAUUUUCCUACUGCUUAUCAUGGGUUCUGCUUGCGAUACGUGAGUGAGAGCUUCCGUGACGAGUUUAAAAAUUCUAAGCUAGUCAACCUCUUUUGGAACGCUGUUUAUGCUCUGACGCCGGCUGAAUUUGAUGCAAAGGUAAGUGAGAUGAUGGAAGUUCAAGAUGUCAUGCCAUGGUUUCAUCUCUUUCCCCCAAACCUUUGGGCAAUCGCAUAUUUUGAGGGGGUGCGGUAUGGCCAUUUCAGUCUGGGUAUCACGGAGUUAUUGUAUAACUGGGCCCUUGAAUGCCAUGAGCUCCCUAUAAUGCAGAUGAUGGAACAUAUAAGGUACCAGCUAACAUGUUGGUUCACUGAUCGUCAUAAUAUGGGGAUGUCAUGGACCUCGAUUCUUGUCCCUUCUGCUGAGAAGCUCAUUUCCGAGGCUAUUGCUGAUUCACGUUGCUAUCAAGUUCUUCGGGCAAAUAAGGUGGAGUUUGAGAUUGUAUCAUCUGAGCGGACAAAUAUUGUUGAUAUACAAACGCGGUGUUGCUCGUGUCGCCGGUGGCAAAUAUAUGGUAUUCCAUGUGCGCAUGCUGCUGCUGCACUCCUGUCUUGCGGUGAGGACGUCCGUCUAUAUGCCCAAGAGUGUUUUAGCAUUAGGAAGUAUAGGGAGGCCUAUUCACAAGUGAUAUAUCCGAUUCCUGAUAGAAGUCUUUGGAAGGAUUCAACAGCUGGAAUGGAAGGUGGAGGUGGCAAAGCGGAUAUAAUCAUACGCCCGCCUAAGACUCGAAGGCCACCUGGCCGCCCCAAAAAGAAGGUUCUUCGGUUAGAGAGUUUAAAACGGCCAAAGAAAGUUGUCCAAUGUGGCCGCUGUCAUCUGUUAGGACAUUCUCAAAAGAAAUGCACAUUACGGAUCUGAAACUUUUUUAAUCAUGUUCAUUACUAAAUCUCUUUCUGUGUGUGCUAAAAAAGUUCAAGCAUGUUGUAAAAGUGUUUCUACAUUCUCUUCUCCAUUUGGUUGAGACUGUAUACAUGUCCAUUUUAUGUAUGCACAUGUACUGUAGCAGCAUUUUCACUUGGAAGAAAUGGACCACUAACCUAAUUCCUUACAUGCUUCUGUUUUAUUGCACUUCUAUUUUCUGUGCCGUGUGACAGUGUAAUUUAGCCUUCAGGAAGAAAGAACAUGAGGAAGAAAGAACUGAAGUAGGGAAAUCGAGCAUCUGAAUGAAGCGGAUCUUAUGUUCUCUUGAAGGUGUAACCUGAGAUUUCCCAAGCUUCAUGGAGGUUAGGAUAUUCUCCUGUACCUACUGUUUUGGCUUUUUUAUUUGCAUAGAAGUAAUGAUAUUACUCUUGUGUAAUUUCAGUCUUUGAAAUAACUCUGUAUUGUAUUUAAGUCACUUUCAACGGUGUUUGUAUUACAAUAAUAACUUCCCGACCAAGUUACAAAGAAUUUCUUGUGGGCAGAGUUUGCAUCUGAUAGAGGUUCAGCAUUUAGGGCCAGAGACAGAUCAAGAGAUUCACUGGUGAGAAUUAUAAAUAUUUUUGAGUAUGACUGGUAGGUCUAGUCUCGGAAAAGAUUUACUGCUUUAAUGGUGCCUCAGUGCACAAGUUUCUAUGCUUUUAGGUGGUUUCAUGAAUAUGAAAAUCAAUUCGGUCUUUGUAAGGAACAUAAAAGUGGUGCUGAGGAGUUGUUAGAAAGCUUAUUUUUCUCAUUUUAAAAUUUUCAAUAAGAGAGCUAUUUAUGUUAAACAGCACUUCAGUCUCAAUUUUUAAGUUUCUGAAAUAGUGGAUUAGUUGCUAACUAGGAAAUUUCAUAGUAUGAAGAAAAUGAUUUAUCUGGAAAAGUCUGAAAAUUUCUGAACAUGGCAGAAGAAAUAUCUGUUUGGCACUUGGUCUGCUUUCAGUUAGGAGAAGCGGCCUUUGCCGGGCAGUCAGAGAGUAAAGGUGUUUAUGGCAGCUAGCUUCUAAUUAUCCAUGGAUAUGGUGGUUAGAUCUUCAGGAAGAAGCUAGGAGGUGACGAAGUUAUACAUUUUAGGAAUCUUGAAGGUGCUGCAAGGUGUUGCUGGAAUUCAGGAACUUUUCACAAGCAGCAUUCAGUGGAUGGAGAUGUUGACAUGCAGGGGGCAUAUGAAUUAGUGAGGUGUUCCAUUGAUUGGUCAGUGCUUUUCCAAAUCUUUAAGUAGUUCUUUUUGGAAGAUCUUGGGUCCAUGUGAUGAUUUGAUGUUGGUCUUCGGAACAGAAAAGUUGGGAAAAUAUGAUACGUUAUUUUCUCUAAUACUUGCUGGUUUAGGUAUGCGUUCCACCUCAAACCGUAUUUCUGAUAUAGCUUGUAGAUGUGGAACAUCAUGGGACAAGUUGACAUGAAGUGGCAGCAUACAGCACGAAUAUGAUAAGUGAUUUUACUAGCAUAUUCUUGUGGAAGCAACUUCUUUGUCACCAUUUAAUAACCUUUUGGGCCGCAAUCUCUCACUAGUUAUUGCUUGGAGAAAAGAAGAAAAACAUUAGCGAUGGAGCAAAGGCUUUUAGUUGUUACUUGGCUAAUGCAUCUCACAUAAUUGAGACACGUUUCUUUAACUAUCUUAUUUGUGUUAAGUAAUAGUAAUUUCCUUUAUUUAUUUCUUUGGCGUUGUCUUUGACUAUGGCAACUGAAGUUAAAAUUAGAUCAAUAGUGUGGCUUCCACUUAAUAUUGGUAAAAUUCUGUGGAACUUUCCUGAACUGUAGUCCAUAUUAAUCUGAUUAUGUAGCCUUUAAAAGUUUCAAUUAGUCUUGGUUAUGCGCUCAGAAGUUUCAGGGUAGCUUGGAAAAUUAAGUACUUAUUUAAAAUGGCCUUUUUGUUUAUAAAAAGGUAGCUAGUAUAUCAUUUGACUGUUUAAUGUGCAGUUGAGUGUUUACCAAAUAAGCCUCAAUACAUGAUGUGUACAUUUCUUAUUCAAAUGUUAAUUCCCUGUAAUCACUUGCUAAUCAAUUUAUGAAUGCUAGUGAGUGUGUUAUAUAGGAGGAUAGUCUAGUUUGUUAUUGGAUGAGGUAGAGUUUCAUCUUUUCAUCAGAUUUUUGUAACGUUUAUCCUUCAUCUUCUUUCUCCAUAUUUAUGUUAUGACGAGACUUGCCUCGGUAUCUUCGUAAUUCUCUAUGUUCAUACGUUUAUGACCAUAUCCUCUUGGGAAACAAAUGUUAUUUCCGCCGCUGUUCCUAUUGCUGUUGUUCUGAUCCUGUUCUCAAUUUCUCCUAUCAUCUUUUUGACUUUAUGUUUCCAAUUAUCUAUUCAGAAUCUUGCCUAAUGGUAUACCAUUGCUCUCGAAAUGCUCUGACAUUGUUUCUUUCAGCUAUAAUUGUUCUUCUUUUGAAAAAAAGAAAAACUAUUAUUCUUGUUUAGUGUUUCCACUAUAAUAUUAUAAGACAUUAUUAACUGUAAGUCGAUCAUGAAUUAAAUUGUACAUCUACAAUAUAGCAUGUUGUUACCUCGUGUAUCAGAUUUCACAAACUAGGGAGGACUCGGUCUCCAACCUUCUAGCUCUCAAUCUCAGCCACGUCAGAAGUUUCCAUAUGGAGGUAUGCUUUAUUUUUCUUGAAUUGUUCAUUUACAACUUUAUACAUACCAAUUUUGGUUUUUUCAUCUAUAGAAUAGUCGAGGUGAGGGCCUUCAAUCUAAGAGUCUAUAUCUGAGGGCAGUGUUUCCUUAAAUUCUUUGUAUCAAGUUCUGAUUUGGAACAUAGAGGGGGGGGGGACUUUUCAAUGGCAUGAAAUGAAUUGUAGCAAUGAUUUCGUUUUUCUAAGUUCGACAAAUCUUAUUCAACGGAGUCUUUUCAUCAACUCUUGAACAUGUUUGAAUUUGUAUGAACCUGUUGUUCUAAAAUUCCAAAAUCAUCAGAAAGUGACCAUGUGUUGAUAAACUAUAGACAUUUUGAACUAAGCACAUGGCAAUGGUUCCUCAACAGCAACUCUAAUCAAUAUUUCUGCUGUUAAAAGAAAUGUUAAAACAUUAUGAUACAACAGCUCAAGCAUUCUGAGACAAACAACUAUUUCAUAUGGAGUAGGAGGUCCUAUGUUUGAAUUCCAUCUACCUCCCUAGUUUUUUCUCACUACCAUUUCUAUUUAAUUCAAGUCCAUAUCUUGUGACAUCCCUAGAAUUUGGAAUAAUUCUAUAUAUGAGAUAUAAUAGGGUUAAAAACCUCUUAAUCCUAGCUAUAGCAUUUUGGGUGGUGGUGUUAGGCUCAUAAGGUUAAAAGAGUUAAGCGUGCUAGAGUUAGAGUAGUCCUAGGAUGGGUGAUCUUCUGGGAAGUGGUGCGUCACAUGCCUUGAAUCUAUCAAACAAUCUUGAAUCUAGACUGGUGGACAUUUGAAUAGAAAUAUCAAAACAUUGUUUUUUGCUGGUUUAGGCUUUUGGCUAUAAACCAUUUUUUUCACACAGCACGAAAUAUAAAAUACUUAAAUAUUGUUCUCUAACUGUUUAAGCCUUCAGAGACGAGUAAACUCUUGUUUCGCAUGGUAGGAUUCAAAUCUUCAUAAUUUAUGAUAAAGAAACAACUCUCUUUGGUCCUCAUCAUUUACUGCAGCAAUCUGAAUACACUAGCUGCUAAAUCAUGGGCGCUAGUGGACAAUCCGUCCUAUACUGCAAAUGUAAAAAUAUUUUAAAAAUAAUUUUUUAUUUAUAUUUUACAUUUUUUAUAUAAUUUAGAUUAGACCAUAUGUGAUCUAAACUUUUGACAUUUUCCACCCAUGUGCUUCAAUGCUUUUAUCAGCUCAGCAUUUGAACUUUUGAAGGUGUGUCUUCCUUUUUUUUGGUGGAAAGGAGUGCAAUAAAUGUGACAACUAACUUUGUUUUUCCAAGGUUGANAUAUAACAUAUUAUAUUUAUAUAAUUUAGUUUUAAUUCAAUUUAUAAUUUUAAUAAAGUUUGAAAUUAAAUAUUGGAAUAACACUAUUCUAUCAAAAUGGUAGAAUAGUAAAUUCCAAGCUAUUUCGGAAUAGUCGUAAAUAACAAGGUUUGAUCGGAAUAAAAUAUCUUGCCUAAAAAUCAUUCUAUUUGGCGGAAUAGCGGGGAUAACUUUUUGUUAUUCCCGCUUAUACCCCGAAUCAAAUGUGACCUAUUAAGAGUAUUUUAGUCGAACUAUACACUUGUAUAUAAGGGGAAAGUUGGAAGAACAUGUGUCACUAUAAGGUCAGCCAAAAACUUUCCUUUUGUAGAAAAAACAGAAUUGGUCCACUGUACCUUUAGAUUUAGGGAAAACUUCAAAAACCCCUCUUGUCACUACAACGAAAACGGUCUAUAGCGACACUUUUAAAUAUAGGUACAUGUUAAAAAAGUGCUGCUCGCUAAAAUUACCGACACUUUUAAAAAGUGUUGCUAUAUGUGGGGUCGCUAGGUAUAUAGUGACAGUUAAAGAGUGUCGCUAUANGGUUAAAAAUAUAUAUAUAUAUAUACAGAACUUAUCUGAAUUACGAAUUACUUUAAGUUGGCGAUCCAAUCUAAUCUUUCAAUUUGUUUGAUAUGAGCUGGUUAACAGCACUUUGACUUUAAAAUUUAAGUUAACUGUUUAUUCAAUAAAUUUAUAGUUAUAAAUAUUGUAUGAAGUAUAUCAACUAAAUAUGUAAAGAUACAUAACGCUUUUAAAUUUUGCAAUCAAAGUGUCGCUAAGUUACUCAAACAAACUGAAAUAUAAGUUCCACGCCUUUUUACCCUCUUUUUAAAGUAAUUUUCUCUAGUUUUUUUAUUUUUCUUGAGAUUUAACCAUGUUUAAAAUCAACAAUGCUGGGGUCGCAUUUGGCAUGAUGAAGUAAAUCUCACGGGUAAGGUAAAUGCACUUUAAAUGCAGCUACUAUUUAUUCACCAAUUUUUUAGCAUUAAAGCAAUAAAUGAUAAAUCAUUUAUUUCUUUUUAUCUUACAAACUAAAUUUAAACUACACGCUUCUAAUUUAUCUACGGGGCAUGAAGAUUGAAUAGUUAAGUAAAUUUUUAGGUUUAAUUAUAACUCCGUGCUUUAAAUAUUUUUCUGUAUUAAAAAUUUAAACAAUAUUUUUUCUGCAUUUUAGUUUUGUCUAGAAUUNGGGGGGACUUUUCAAUGGCAUGAAAUGAAUUGUAGCAAUGAUUUCGUUUUUCUAAGUUCGACAAAUCUUAUUCAACGGAGUCUUUUCAUCAACUCUUGAACAUGUUUGAAUUUGUAUGAACCUGUUGUUCUAAAAUUCCAAAAUCAUCAGAAAGUGACCAUGUGUUGAUAAACUAUAGACAUUUUGAACUAAGCACAUGGCAAUGGUUCCUCAACAGCAACUCUAAUCAAUAUUUCUGCUGUUAAAAGAAAUGUUAAAACAUUAUGAUACAACAGCUCAAGCAUUCUGAGACAAACAACUAUUUCAUAUGGAGUAGGAGGUCCUAUGUUUGAAUUCCAUCUGCCUCCCUAGUUUUUUCUCACUACCAUUUCUAUUUAAUUCAAGUCCAUAUCUUGUGACAUCCCUAGAAUUUGGAAUAAUACUAUAUAUGAGAUAUAAUAGGGUUAAAAACCUCUUAAUCCUAGCUAUAGCAUUUUGGGUGGUGGUGUUAGGCUCAUAAGGUUAAAAGAGUUAAGCGUGCUAGAGUUAGAGUAGUCCUAGGAUGGGUGAUCUUCUGGGAAGUGGUGCGUCACAUGCCUUGAAUCUAUCAAACAAUCUUGAAUCUAGACUGGUGGACAUUUGAAUAGAAAUAUCAAAACAUUGUUUUUUGCUGGUUUAGGCUUUUGGCUAUAAACCAUUUUUUUCACACAGCACGAAAUAUAAAAUACUUAAAUAUUGUUCUCUAACUGUUUAAGCCUUCAGAGACGAGUAAACUCUUGUUUCGCAUGGUAGGAUUCAAAUCUUCAUAAUUUAUGAUAAAGAAACAACUCUCUUUGGUCCUCAUCAUUUACUGCAGCAAUCUGAAUACACUAGCUGCUAAAUCAUGGGCGCUAGUGGACAAUCCGUCCUAUACUGCAAAUGUAAAAAUAUUUUAAAAAUAAUUUUUUAUUUAUAUUUUACAUUUUUUAUAUAAUUUAGAUUAGACCAUAUGUGAUCUAAACUUUUGACAUUUUCCACCCAUGUGCUUCAAUGCUUUUAUCAGCUCAGCAUUUGAACUUUUGAAGGUGUGUCUUCCUUUUUUUUGGUGGAAAGGAGUGCAAUAAAUGUGACAACUAACUUUGUUUUUCCAAGGUUGAAUUUCUAAAAUUUCUGAUGGCAGUUCAUGUAAGUAGUUGGUUUUUUAUCAAAUUAGCUUCAUUUCUAUUCGAUGUCACUUUCAUUCUUAGAAAUUAACAAUACUUCUCGCUAAUUUAUUCCAAAAGUGGUGAUGACUGCAUUUAGUUCCACUGUUCCUUACAUAUGUUAUGUUGCUGCAAUUUACAGAGAGGGUCGGAGAACAAGAUUAUAUUGUUUUAUUAUGCAGGAAAACAAGUUCCAAACAAAUUGGGCAUAUUUGGAUGUCUGAAUAAGUUGUCUAAUAAUAAUAACUUUGUAUUAUGAAAACUUUCUUGUGUCAUUGUAAUAUAGGAGUUAUGGUUUUAGGUUAUAUAAGGUUCUGUGAUUUUCUAUGAUUAUCAUGCGAUUUAAAUAAAUGACGUAGGGACUGCAUAUAGUGUUAUAUCAUUGAAAACUUCUGAUCAUUCUACUUAUCAUUUACUUUAAAAAAAUCGUUUUGAUAUUCAGUUUAUAAGAGAGUUGCAUAUGGCAACACCAGCAAUAGCAGCAGAUGUCAGCAGCGGAAGUGGAAAUUUAGGAUAGGGAAGAAAUGAAAGUGCUGCUAGCUUUUAUGAAAAAAAAAAAUGUGAUGAUGAAUUAAAACAAGGCAACGGAAGGAGGAGGAUUAGAAGGGAGGGAAAGAGACCAAGAAUAUUACAGUUUGGGCAAAUGACAGUAGUGAAAACCAAAACUGCCUACCUAACUUGUGAUUUUGUAGUCCACUUCGUAGUUUGUUGCGUCUGCUAUUUCUGCUGUUAGUUCCUAUAGUUCUUCUUCACUUUCUCCUAUUAUUUUUCUGCUUUUGGUGCUGUUGGUGAAAAGCAAGGAAAGACUUUGAUUUGUAGCUGAAUACUUAUAUUGCGGCGCGAGAUGUUCACACUGCGCUUUUCUUCACGUUGUUAUUACGCGCAAAUGAUUGUUGGCCAGAAUUUGAGCAUAAUUUAUGCAAUAAAUAAUGUUUACGAAUACUUUAUUUUCUAAAUUAUAUGAAGAAAAUGUUCUAAAGAACGAGCGACGUGUGGAGUUUGUUAAUUUUCCUGCACAGCUGCGAUGGAUGCUUGCUUGCUUGUGUCCGACUCACAUUUUUUCCAAUUUGGUUGGCUACUUGGUAUUCUAUUUGUGCUAAAGUUUGCACUCUCUUUCUUUUCUUUUCGGUUUUCUUACCUUUGUGUUCGAUUAUUGCUAUUUGUUCUCGCCCUUUUGUUCGGCGUUUUCUUUAGUUCUUUCUUUGGUUUUCACUCUUCUACUUUUCUUUUGCAGAAGACCUACUACUAAGUUGGUAGGGGAUUUCCUCCUUAAUUUUCUUAUACUUUUUCCUCCUGAUUUUUCUAUGGUGCUGUUAUUUAUGACCUACCUUUAUCUGCUGCCACUUUUAUUACUGCUAUUGUUACUACGGCAGCCGCUGUUUCUUCUUCGUUGGCUACUAGUUUUCUUGCUCUUCUGCUACUCUUUUGUGUUGCUAUUCUUUCUCUUCGUUGGCUACUAGUUUUCUUUCUUUUGAGCUGCAAGACUCAGUCCACUCCCUUUCCAAGUCUCUUCUGCCGCUCACAAAGGGCGUCAGCGAAAGAUUUGACCAAGGUCGCAAUUUGUUGGUGGAAAAUCUGGUGGGAAAGAAAUAACGUGAUUUUUAGAAACCAUUCUUCUGAUCCCCUAAUCAUGGUUAGACGAGCUCGAGACUUGGAAAGGGAGUGGACUGAGUCUUGCAGUAGUAAGUGAACUCUUUUUUAGUCUUUUAAUUUUAUUUACUUAUUUUAUUUUAUUUUAUUUUUCUAAGUUUUUUUUUUAUCAUUUAUUUUUAUUUUUCAGUAUGGUGGCCUGUAUCUUAUUCGAGGUUGAGUUGCCUCAACUUCUGUAGCUGAAUUCAUUUUCUAUAUGAAUGAAGUGGGUAGUGUGUUACAUUUCUUUCAAGAAAAUUCUUUCUGUUACUGUUCUACCUCUUAUUUAUUGAAAAUUCUCACAUUCAAUUCAUUGUCUGUUAUUUCUUGGAUCACUUCGUAUGUACCAUUUUAAUUGGGUGAAAUAGAAGAGGCACUUUUAUAUAUAAUCUUAAGAAAAUUAUUAAGAGUAUUCUUGUGUAAUUAUAUACAUGCCAUAUAAGUAGAGAGUUGGAAGAACAUGCCUUACUCUAAGGUUCCCCAACUUUCCUUUAGGGCGUGUUAGGUUCGCUUUUCUUUCACUAAAAAAUCGGAAUCAGAAUGGUUGAAUCCGUUUGUAGGUGUUUGGUAUGCGGUAGUCUAAUUUCGAUUUCGAUCUUCGAGUUGAAUGGAAAUUUUUUAAUCACCUUUUUUUCCAAUCCGGUCUAGGAGGCCGGAUUGGAAGUUGAAUCCGGACGGAAUAGAUAUUUAUUCGGAUUAAAUUUACUUUUUCAACUUUUUUAAUUAAAAUAUGAGUUUAAAUUUAUAAUUUAUAAUUUUAAUUUGAAUUUGAAUUAAAAAUUAAAAUUUAAUCAAGUAUUUUGAAUCUAACUUAUAAAUUUAAAUUUAAAUUAAAUUUUAAUUUAUAUAAAGUUUUAUUCAAAUUUUAUUAAAAAUUUAAAUUAAAUUUAUGGAUUCAAUUAAAUUGUAAUUUUAAGUUUGAAUUCGAAUAAGUUGAAAUAUAUUUUUAUAUUUUGAAUUAUAAUAUCAAUUUAAAUUAAAAUUUUAUUUUAAUAAAAAAUAUAUAUUAAUUUGAUUACGUUUUUUAUUUCUAUCUGAACCAAACAUCGACAAUAGGAAUGAUAUUUAGAUAACGAACCAAACAGAAUUAGAUAAUGAGUNUUGUAAAAUAAAAAAUGUUCACUUCACUUCAUGCCGUUAGUAAACAGUUAAGGUUCCGUUUAUAAAAUAUUAUUAUAUAUUUUUUUAUGUCAAAAAUAUCCUCAGUCUUCUCUUCUGUGAACAUGAUAAGAGGCAAAAUAGUGAGAGGCAAAAUAAUCAUUUUGUCAUCACAGUUCACACCGUACUUUCCUGCGAAUAUUUUUUAUUUUACAAAGGGACAAAAUAUAGAUUUUUAAAUAACAAAAAAUUAAAAAAUUAAAUUUUGACAUAAAAUUUUUUUAUAAUUUAGCCAAAUUUUAAAUAUCAACUAUUAAAAUUUUUAUCAGUUGCCUUAGUAACUGUGGAUCUCUCAAGGCAAAGUUAAUGCAUGUCUGUCCUCUUGCCUCCCUUUAUUUAGCUAUAGCCCACACGUUUGCGGGUGCCACAAAAGUGUGACUUUAUAUAUGUGGCAUUUAUUUAUUUGACCACACACCUCUCAUCUCUACAAGAUUUUUUUUUUUCCCCUUUUGUGGCCAUUGUAAUAUUGAAUAGCUAACAGGUUAAUCAUAGGACAUAUUUGAUUUAUAGUAUUUUUUAACGUGUUCAAAAAUAAAACAUUGAAAUUAUAAAAUUUCAUACUUAUUUGGGAAAAUUUCAAAUAUCCUUUUGUGGUUUCACUCUUUCUCACUUUAGUAUCCUGUGGUUUAAAGUGUAUCAAGCUCGUACCCUGUGAUUUCGUAUUUUCUUAUUUUAGUACCCUGUGGUUUAAAGUGUAUCAAGUUAGUACCUUGUUGUUUCGCACUUUCUCACUUUAGUAUCCUGUGGUUUAAUAUUUUAUUAAGAGAAAAAUAAAACCACAGGAUACUAACUUGAUGCAAAAAUAAAACCAUAGGGUACUAAUUUGAUACAAAAAUAAACCAUAGAGUACUAACUUGGUACAUUUUAAACCACAGGGUACUAAAGUGAGAAAGUGCGAAACUACAGGGUACUAACUUGAUACACUUGAAACAACAUGGUACUAAAAUAAAAAAGUGCGAAACUACGGAGGGUUUUUGAAGUUUUCCCUACUUAUUUCUAAAAACUUUAAAUAUCCUAGAUCAGUUUUAACAGUGCGGAUCGUUGAUUUGAACACCCUAAAAUCGAAAAUGAGACUAUAGUACUGGAGACCCGGUACUGUAGAUAGUAUAGGAGACUAGCUCUCUCUCUCUCUCUCUCUCUCUCUCUCUCUAUAUAUAUAUAUAUAGGCUGCGUUUGGUUGGAGGGAUAUCCCAGAACAAUGAGGGAUAUCCCUCCAAACACAAUGCAAUUUGGAACAACCGGGUUGUUCCCGGAACAACCCGUUAAGCCGGGAACAACCCGGUAAGCUUGUUCUCCCUAAAAGGGAGAACAAGCCGGAACAAGAGAUUUGGGCUUUUUUUUUUNACCAAGAAAAAAAGAUAAAGCUUCAAAUACCAUCAUUUAAAGUGUAUCAAUUUAGUACCCUAUAAUUUUAUUUUUCUAUUUUUAUUAUUUUUUUCACUUUUUUUUUGUUGAGUUAAUAAUAAAGUUAAACUAAAAAGUACAAAAGUGAAUAUUUGAUAAACCUAGGUAGGGUUUCAAAAGGUUUUUGUAUAAAAUAAAAUCAGAGGGUAUUAAAUUGAUACACUUUAAAUUAUAUGGUAUUAAAGUGAGAAAGUGAGAAACGAUAGGGGUGGUAUUUGAAGUUUAUUCAAAAAAACAGAACAAGAAAAUAAAAACUUAGUUAAGCAUGCUCAAAACCAGGGUUUUUUUUGCAAAUAGCUCCCUGAUCAAUUUUUAUUUUCAAUAUAGCCCUAUCAAAAUUAAAAUUACAAAAAUGACCCUGUUUCUGCUACGCAGGCGCUACGUCAGCGCCACGCGGGCAAAGCUAGGGCCAGGGUAUUAAGCCCGCUGGGGCAGGGUAUUAAGUUGAACACAGUGAAUAAUUCGCGGUGUCUAAACACGGUGAAUGGUUCACCGUGUUUCUUACGUAUUUUUUGUAUAUUGAAAAGUGGAAUAAGGAGUAGGGAUGUCAAUAGGUAUGGAUAUUCGAAAUAUUAUCCGAAUCCAAACCCGAAUAAAUUAUAUAUAUACGUAAUUUAUUUUUGUUUAUUUAUACAAUAUAUAAAAUAUUUAAUAAUUUAUAUUCCUUAGAUCUUCAUCCAACGGUAUAGANUAUAUAUAAAAUUUAUUCGGGUUUAAAUUCAGAUAAUAUUUCGAAUAUCCAUACCUAUUGACAUCCCUACUUCUUAUUCCACUUUUCAAUAUACAAAAAAUACGCAACAAAAAAUACGUAUUAAACAUGGUGAACCAUUCACCGUGUUUGAACAUGGUGAAUGGUUCACCGUGUUCAACUUAACACACGGGCCAAGCCCUGCCCGUGUGGCGCUGCGUGGCAAGUGCAGGGCCAUUUUUGCAAAUUAAAUUUUGACAGGGCUAUUUUUAAAAUAAAAAUUUGUCAGGGAUCUAAAUGCAAAAAAAGCCCUAUUCCAUUGUAACCGUCAGAUUCAUUGAUGGGCCAAAAUCAACAAGACGACGAUUGGGGAUCAUACGGUCCCACGGUGACAAAGGAGGCAAAAUUUUGCUGUCCAAUUUGUCGUCUGAGAGGAAGAUGGUGUUCAUCUCCUUGUUUUUUUCUUCUUUUUGUUCCUUUUUUUUUUUUUNNNNNNNNNNNNNNNNNNNNNNNNNNNNNNNNNNNNNNNNNNNNNNNNNNNNNNNNNNNNNNNNNNNNNNNNNNNNNNNNNNNNNNNNNNNNNNNNNNNNNNNNNNNNNNNNNNNNNNNNNNNNNNNNNNNNNNNNNNNNNNNNNNNNNNNNNNNNNNNNNNNNNNNNNNNNNNNNNNNNNNNNNNNNNNNNNNNNNNNNNNNNNNNNNNNNNNNNNNNNNNNNNNNNNNNNNNNNNNNNNNNNNNNNNNNNNNNNNNNNNNNNNNNNNNNNNNNNNNNNNNNNNNNNNNNNNNNNNNNNNNNNNNNNNNNNNNNNNNNNNNNNNNNNNNNNNNNNNNNNNNNNNNNNNNNNNNNNNNNNNNNNNNNNNNNNNNNNNNNNNNNNNNNNNNNNNNNNNNNNNNNNNNNNNNNNNNNNNNNNNNNNNNNNNNNNNNNNNNNNNNNNNNNNNNNNNNNNNNNNNNNNNNNNNNNNNNNNNNNNNNNNNNNNNNNNNNNNNNNNNNNNNNNNNNNNNNNNNNNNNNNNNNNNNNNNNNNNNNNNNNNNNNNNNNNNNNNNNNNNNNNNNNNNNNNNNNNNNNNNNNNNNNNNNNNNNNNNUAUAUAUGUAUAUAUGUGUAUAUAUAUAUAUAUAUAUAUAUAUAUAUAUAUAUAUAUAUAUAGUUGAGAUAGAAUACUCUCAAAAGCACAAAGGGGUGGUGCUUUUGAGUUUUUAACCAUUGGAUGGAGAGAUGUAUGGUUGGGAUGAUGGUGGUAGGUGGUGGUAGGUGGAAUAGUGUUUAAUUUAAGAACUAUUAGUAAUUAAGGAGUAGAUCGAAGGACUAGAAACCAUAGUUAGUUAAUUCGGAUUCGGCAAAAUUCGGUACGGGUAUAAUUCGGAUAAAAUUCGUCUUCUAAUUAUUAAAUUCGUUGAAAAAUACGGCUAAAAAACGGAUUCGGUUAUUAUUCGGAUACGUGAUUUAUACGGGUAUUAUACGUUUAUCAAUUAAAAAUUUGGGAUACAAAAUUUGGCUAUAUAAUAAAUAUAUAAUAAUUAAUAUACUAUAUAUAUUUUUUUUAUAAUUUUUUAUAUAGAUUAAAUAUAUUCAAAGUUAUAAUAAAUAUAUAUUAAUAAUAUAUAAAAGUUAUGUAUUUAGAAAUAUUAAUAAAUAAUUAUAAAUAUAUAAAUAAAAUAUUAUAUAUAAUAAAUAAAAUAUAUUUAUAAAUAACAUUAUAAAUUAUAUAUUAUAUAUAGUAUUAUAAAUAUAUUAUAUAUUAUAUAUAUAUAUAUAUAUGAUUAUGGGGUUGAGUCACAAUGGAACCUCCUCUGAUGUGUUCACGAGCACAAAUAGGCUCAAUAUGGACCGCGCACAAACUGUAUCAUAAGCCCUCAUAUUUUUUUAUGUCCUUUCCAUCUUUCUGGCGAACGAGCAUUGCGCCUGCGAUGUUGCUCCGCCCGCCCGCAGAGUCGUGGAGGAGGAAAAUGAAUAUCGGAAGAGUUCUAUGCGAGACGGCUAUGACGAGACCUUUGGCCGCAAUCCAAACACGAGCGCCGCUAGCCACUACGCGCGACGAGCCGACCUUCGGACCCGAAUCCGCAACCGCGAACGCCGUUUUGGUCCGAAUUCAUUCGGCGAAAUCGCGAAUAAUUCCCGCAACACUUUUUUUGACGAAAACAUCGCAUAUUUAUUUCGAACUUUCGAAAAAAUACGGAAGACGCGUUUAUUCGUAUUUUAAAGAUUCGCGAUAUUCGGUUUUAAUCCCGAAUUAAUAAUCUAAUGCUAAAACUAGACAGCACAAGGAAUUGGUGUUUUAAAGUAUUAUCAGAGACGAAUUUAUAUAGUAUUAUAUAUAUAUAGUUAUAUUAGGAAGAGAGAGAAGAGAGAGAGUAAGAGAAGAAUAGGAGAUGGAAAGAGAGAUAUAGAUGAGAGAAGGAGGAGGCCUACUAUACAUCGAAAGAACGGAGCUUAUCCGGUAGCUUCCAACUCCGUCUUUCGAUGUUGCAUUUUCGAAUCGUCAUCGGCUUCGGUUAACUUGAUUCUAGAGUAUUUGAGGGUAUCUAAGAAUAAAUGAUGAUUUACGAUAUCAUUAUGCCUAUUAAUGAAGAGCUCGAAGAUAACGCUGAAAAUAAAAAAUCGUUACAAAAUAUAAUAAUAUGCAUAUAAAAUUUUAAAUCAAAUGAUUUGAUCUUAUUUUAUUUAAGUAUAAAGAAUUCAUAUCUAUCAAAAUUUACAAAUUUGAAUAAUUUUUACACCUAAAAUUGCAAAGGUCUCUAACGAGUCAGUUGAAUUUCGUUAAUUUAGCUCAUUCGUCACUAGGCAAAAUAAAUAUCGAAAAAUUAAUAAAUUAUGUUUUAGGUACUCAAAUACUUAAAUUAAGUUAACGAGUAGAUCGCGAUCGAAAGUGAUCAUCGAAACAGCUGGAAUAUUAUAUAUUAUAUAUAUAUAUAUAAUAUAUACUAUAUAUAUAUAAUAAUAUUUAUAUUAUAUAUAUAAUCUAAGAAAAAUUAUUAAGGUAUNAAUGAAUGAGGGAGACCUCGUGGACCACGUGUAAGCGCAGCCCAGCACUGCAAUUUUUCGUUUUCCGGUCGAAGCAGCGGAAACGAAACCCUUCAUUUUCUGAGGAUAUGUAAGAAAAAAAUUUUACAGACAACCAAACAACAACCAAACAAUAGAAAAUAUUUUUUCAACGAAAUUUUUUUUUUCGGAGCGGUUUUAUGAGAAUCCAAAUACACCCUAAGUAGGUUGGGGAUUUUCUCCUUCAAUUUUUUCAACUUUUUUUCUUCUUUUUUUUUUUUUGAGAGAGAGAUAAUACGCUACCCGCUUCGCUUAUUUCAUUUAGAAAUAAACUUAGCUGGAAAUAUAAAUCAACUAGGGUUCGAAUUUAGAAUCUCGGGCACCAACCGCCAAGCCUUUUGCCACUUGCUCUAGAAACGGUCAGUAAUUUUUUCAACUUUCUCCUCCUGAUUUGAUUUUUCUACGGUGCUGUUAUUUAUGACCUACCUUUAUUUGUUGCCGCUUUUAUUACUGCUAUUGUUACUAUUGCAGUUGUCGUUUCCUCUUUGUUGGCUACUACUUUUCUUCCUCUUUUGCUAUUCUUUUGUGUCGCUAUUAUUUCUGUUACUGUUCUGCCUUUUAUUUAUUAAAAAUUCUCACAUUCAAUACAUUUUCUGCUAUUUCUUGGCUCACUUAGUAUAUACCAUUUUAAUCGAGCGAAACAGAAGAGAAACUUUUAUAUAUAAUCUAAGAAAAUUAUUAAAAGAGUACUCUAGUCUAACUAUAUAUACAUGCAUAUAGGUAGAGAGUUGGAAGAACAUGCGUCGCUGUAAGGUCCCCUAACUUUCCUUUUGUAGAACAAAACAGAAUUGGUGCAUUGUACCUUUAAGGCACCGUUUGGUUUGGGAAUAGGGAUAGGGAUAGGCCCUUAUCCCCCCUUUAUACCCAAACGCUAAUUUUUUAUCCGAGAAUAGUAAUUCUCGCUUAUCCCCACCAACACCUCCAUUUUCUAUAUAAAACUUUCUAAUAUUUUUCUUAUCCUCGAGAACAACUCAAUUUUCAUCCAAACGCUAUUUUUCUUAUCCCCAUACUUGUACCUAUUCCUGUAAUAGCUAGUUCUUGCUUAUCCCCGAACCAAACGGUACCUUAGAUUUAUUGUUGGCCCAGAACAAAGA